RNAcentral lists this ribosomal RNA (750 nucleotides) under Rathayibacter sp. GTJR-18. Its description in RNAcentral is "bacterial SSU rRNA". It matches the Rfam family "Bacterial small subunit ribosomal RNA", at positions 45 to 807 of the family's 1533-position model. Lineage: Bacteria; Bacillati; Actinomycetota; Actinomycetes; Micrococcales; Microbacteriaceae. The record is from RNAcentral.
AGCUUACCAUGCAGUCGCACGAUGAAGCCCAGCUUGCUGGGUGGAUUAGUGGCGAACGGGUGAGUAACACGUGAGUAACCUGCCCUUGACUCUGGGAUAAGCGCUGGAAACGGCGUCUAAUACCGGAUACGACCUGCCCCGGCAUCGGGUGCGGGUGGAAAGUUUUUCGGUCAAGGAUGGACUCGCGGCCUAUCAGGUAGUUGGUGAGGUAAUGGCUCACCAAGCCGACGACGGGUAGCCGGCCUGAGAGGGUGACCGGCCACACUGGGACUGAGACACGGCCCAGACUCCUACGGGAGGCAGCAGUGGGGAAUAUUGCACAAUGGGCGAAAGCCUGAUGCAGCAACGCCGCGUGGGGGAUGACGGCCUUCGGGUUGUAAACCUCUUUUAGUAGGGAAGAAGGGCUUCGGCUUGACGGUACCUGCAGAAAAAGCACCGGCUAACUACGUGCCAGCAGCCGCGGUAAUACGUAGGGUGCAAGCGUUGUCCGGAAUUAUUGGGCGUAAAGAGCUCGUAGGCGGUUUGUCGCGUCUGCUGUGAAAACCCGAGGCUCAACCUCGGGCCUGCAGUGGGUACGGGCAGACUAGAGUGCGGUAGGGGAGAAUGGAAUUCCUGGUGUAGCGGUGGAAUGCGCAGAUAUCAGGAGGAACACCGAUGGCGAAGGCAGUUCUCUGGGCCGUUACUGACGCUGAGGAGCGAAAGCGUGGGGAGCGAACAGGAUUAGAUACCCUGGUAGUCCACGCCGUAAAC